RNAcentral lists this ribosomal RNA (465 nucleotides) under Vreelandella stevensii. RNAcentral describes it as "partial 16S ribosomal RNA". It matches the Rfam family "Bacterial small subunit ribosomal RNA", at positions 338 to 795 of the family's 1533-position model. The record is from RNAcentral. Lineage: Bacteria; Pseudomonadati; Pseudomonadota; Gammaproteobacteria; Oceanospirillales; Halomonadaceae.
CCUACGGGUGGCAGCAGUGGGGAAUAUUGGACAAUGGGGGCAACCCUGAUCCAGCCAUGCCGCGUGUGUGAAGAAGGCCCUCGGGUUGUAAAGCACUUUCAGUGAGGAAGAACGCCUGGUGGUUAAUACCCAUCAGGAAAGACAUCACUCACAGAAGAAGCACCGGCUAACUCCGUGCCAGCAGCCGCGGUAAUACGGAGGGUGCGAGCGUUAAUCGGAAUUACUGGGCGUAAAGCGCGCGUAGGUGGCUUGAUAAGCCGGUUGUGAAAGCCCCGGGCUCAACCUGGGAACGGCAUCCGGAACUGUCAAGCUAGAGUGCAGGAGAGGAAGGUAGAAUUCCCGGUGUAGCGGUGAAAUGCGUAGAGAUCGGGAGGAAUACCAGUGGCGAAGGCGGCCUUCCGGACUGACACUGACACUGAGGUGCGAAAGCGUGGGUAGCAAACAGGAUUAGAUACCCUGGUAGUC